RNAcentral lists this ribosomal RNA (449 nucleotides) under uncultured bacterium. Its description in RNAcentral is "bacterial SSU rRNA". It matches the Rfam family "Bacterial small subunit ribosomal RNA", at positions 328 to 793 of the family's 1533-position model. The record is from RNAcentral.
CGCUAUCACUCCUACGGGUAGGCAGCAGUGGGGAAUCUUGGACAAUGGGCGCAAGCCUGAUCCAGCCAUGCCGCGUGAGUGAUGAAGGCCCUAGGGUCGUAAAGCUCUUUCGCCAGAGAUGAUAAUGACAGUAUCUGGUAAAGAAACCCCGGCUAACUCCGUGCCAGCAGCCGCGGUAAUACGGAGGGGGUUAGCGUUGUUCGGAAUUACUGGGCGUAAAGCGUACGUAGGCGGAUUAGUUAGUCAGAGGUGAAAUCCCAGGGCUCAACCCUGGAACUGCCUUUGAUACUGCUAGUCUUGAGUUCGAGAGAGGUGAGUGGAAUUCCGAGUGUAGAGGUGAAAUUCGUAGAUAUUCGGAGGAACACCAGUGGCGAAGGCGGCUCACUGGCUCGAUACUGACGCUGAGGUACGAAAGUGUGGGGAGCAAACAGGAUUAGAUACCCUGGUAG